CCUACGGGAGGCAGCAGUGAGGAAUAUUGGUCAAUGGACGCAAGUCUGAACCAGCCAUGCCGCGUGCAGGAAGACGGCCCUAUGAGUUGUAAACUGCUUUUGUACGGGGGUAAACGCAGGUACGUGUCUCUGUCUGAAAGUAUCGUACGAAUAAGGAUCGGCUAACUCCGUGCCAGCAGCCGCGGUAAUACGGAGGAUUCGAGCGUUAUCCGGAUUUAUUGGGUUUAAAGGGUGCGGAGGCGGAAGGUAAAGUCAGCGGUAAAAUUGGGGGGCUCAACCUCUUCGAGCCGUUGAAACUGGUUGUCUUGAGUGCGCGAGAAGUAUGCGGAAUGCGUGGUGUAGCGGUGAAAUGCAUAGAUAUCACGAAGAACUCCGAUUGCGAAGGCAGCACACUGGCGCUCAACUGACGCUGAUGCACGAAAGUGUGGGUAUCGAACAGGAUUAGAUACCCCAGUAGUC
This 459-nucleotide ribosomal RNA is filed under the name uncultured bacterium. RNAcentral's name for it is "partial 16S ribosomal RNA". It matches the Rfam family "Bacterial small subunit ribosomal RNA", at positions 338 to 795 of the family's 1533-position model. The record is from RNAcentral.